Molecule: long non-coding RNA, 276 nt
Organism: Felis catus (domestic cat)
Lineage: Eukaryota; Metazoa; Chordata; Mammalia; Carnivora; Felidae
Exons: 2
Source: RefSeq, a predicted model, not a curated record
UUCUCAAUCUUGGGCACUGCUGACACGUUGCACUGGAUACUCCCUUGGAGCAUCUUUUGGAGAAACAAUAUCAAGAAAAUCCUGCCCAGAGGAGGAAAAGAUUACAGCUGGAUGAUGUGUGUAUCUAUCUGAAAACAUACAAUCACACGAUGAAUGUCAGUUUGCUCAUAAGUCAGUUCUUAAGAAUGAAUUUCUGAUCCUUUGUUAGAGAGUCUGGAAGUUCAAAUAGAAAUACUUCCAGUUCCAUCUAUUAAGGGAACCUAAAGAUGCAAAGUC